AAAAAAAAAAAACUAUUGUUCUUAUUUCUUUUUAAUUCUGUUGCUAUUCUUUAAUUUUAGUGGAAUUUACAGCAGACUGAUCAUUGGGUGAAGUAGAAGACAAGUGCUUUAGCUUAGAAUAUCUUUGAGCUUGCUCAGAGACAUGAAUAAAAAUUUUACUUGAAGAGGCACAUGACUGGAAGCUUUCCACUCCAUGCAAGCCAAUACCACAGAGUUCUUUUUGGCCGGCCAACACAUAAUGGACCUCAGAGACUAAGCCGAUCAGAGAUGCUCAGUAUCCCGAAUCUAUCAAAUCAAAGUUGUUAGCUGCUUCAGCCAGGUGUUGGAAAGAGUUGCCUGCUUUUACGAUUCUCUGAUGGCUCCUUCACAACCAACUUCAUACC
Molecule: long non-coding RNA, 383 nt
Organism: Rosa chinensis
Lineage: Eukaryota; Viridiplantae; Streptophyta; Magnoliopsida; Rosales; Rosaceae
Exons: 4
Source: RefSeq, a predicted model, not a curated record